GAUGAACGCUGGCGGCGUGCCUAACACAUGCAAGUCGAACGAACGGACGGGAAGCUUGCGUCUCUGAUGUUAGCGGCGGGCGGGUGAGUAACACGUGGAUAACCUACUUCUAAUACUGGGAGAACUUCGGGAAACCGGAUCUAAUACCGGCUAAUAUUAUGAACGGGAGGGUUCAGGAGUGAAAGAGGGUUUUGCUGUCACUUAUAGAUGGAUCCGCGCUGCAUUAGCUAGUUGGUAAGGUAACGGCUUACCAAGGCAACGAUGCAUAGCCGACCUGAGAGGAUGAUCGGCCACACUGGAACUGAGACACGGUCCAGACUCCUACGGGAGGCAGCAGUAGGGAAUCUUCGGCAAUGGGCGAAAGCCUGACGCAGCAACGCCGCGUGGGUGAUGAAGGUCUUCGGAUCGUAAAGCUCUGUUAUUAGGGAAGAACAGAUGUGUAUGUAACUGUGGCCAUUUUGACGGUACCUAAACAGAAAGCACCGGCUAACUACGUG
Molecule: ribosomal RNA, 497 nt
Filed under: uncultured bacterium
Lineage: Bacteria
Description: partial 16S ribosomal RNA
Rfam family: Bacterial small subunit ribosomal RNA
Source: RNAcentral